CAUUAUUGAAACUUGAAUCGUAGCAUUGAGAACUGUUGCUGACCUGUUAAAGGGUAUGUGCACGUUCGACGUGUUGCGUUCUAUUCAUCCACCUGUGCACCUUUGUAGACUUGAUUAACUUUCGCUCUCGAGCGGUUAGAAGGGUUGCUUUCGAGCUCCCUUUGUCUAUCUAGUCUAUGUCUAUAUAAUCUCUUGUAUGUCUAGAAUGUCUUGUUUAUGGGACGCAAGUCCUUUAAAUCUUAUACAACUUUCAACAACGGAUCUCUUGGCUCUCGCAUCGAUGAAGAACGCAGCGAAAUGCGAUAACUAAUGUGAAUUGCAGAAUUCAGUGAAUCAUCGAGUCUUUGAACGCACCUUGCGCCCUCUGGUAUUCCGAAGGGCAUGCCUGUUUGAGUGUCAUUAAAUUCUCAACCUCCCCUUCUUUCAUUAGGAGUGCGGCGGAUUGGAUAUGGGGGUUUGCUGGUUUCUAACGAGAUCAGCUCCUCUGAAAUGCAUUAGCAGAAACCGUUUGACUUUGGCUGCUAGGCUGUGAUAAUGUCUACGCCUUGGUAGUUGGGUCGGAAUACGAGAGUCAUACAGUGGUAACUAAUCAGGCUUUCGAGUCUGGCUUAGGAUCGG
This 618-nucleotide ribosomal RNA is filed under the name Armillaria ostoyae. RNAcentral describes it as "eukaryotic LSU rRNA". The stretch from base 246 to 399 matches the Rfam family "5.8S ribosomal RNA". Lineage: Eukaryota; Fungi; Basidiomycota; Agaricomycetes; Agaricales; Physalacriaceae. The record is from RNAcentral.